GCAUAUCAAUAAGCGGAGGAAAAGAAACCAACAGGGAUUGCCUCAGUAGCGGCGAGUGAAGCGGCAAGAGCUCAGAUUUGAAAUCGUGCUUUGCGGCACGAGUUGUAGAUUGCAGGUUGGAGUCUGUGUGGAAGGCGGUGUCCAAGUCCCUUGGAACAGGGCGCCCAGGAGGGUGAGAGCCCCGUGGGAUGCCGGCGGAAGCAGUGAGGCCCUUCUGACGAGUCGAGUUGUUUGGGAAUGCAGCUCCAAGCGGGUGGUAAACUCCAUCUAAGGCUAAAUACUGGCGAGAGACCGAUAGCGAACAAGUACUGUGAAGGAAAGAUGAAAAGCACUUUGAAAAGAGAGUGAAACAGCACGUGAAAUUGUUGAAAGGGAAGGGUAUUGCGCCCGACAUGGGGAUUGCGCACCGCUGCCUCUCGUGGGCGGCGCUCUGGGCUUUCCCUGGGCCAGCAUCGGUUCUUGCUGCAGGAGAAGGGGUUCUGGAACGUGGCUCUUCGGAGUGUUAUAGCCAGGGCCAGAUGCUGCGUGCGGGGACCGAGGACUGCGGCCGUGUAGGUCACGGAUGCUGGCAGAACGGCGCAACACCGCCCGUCUU
Molecule: ribosomal RNA, 595 nt
Filed under: Pichia kudriavzevii
Lineage: Eukaryota; Fungi; Ascomycota; Pichiomycetes; Pichiales; Pichiaceae
Description: eukaryotic LSU rRNA
Rfam family: Eukaryotic large subunit ribosomal RNA
Source: RNAcentral